Molecule: ribosomal RNA, 465 nt
Filed under: uncultured bacterium
Lineage: Bacteria
Description: partial 16S ribosomal RNA
Rfam family: Bacterial small subunit ribosomal RNA
Source: RNAcentral
GACGAACGCUGGCGGCGUGCUUAACACAUGCAAGUCGAACGGAAAGGCCCUGCUUGCAGGGUACUCGAGUGGCGAACGGGUGAGUAACACGUGGGUGAUCUGCCCUGCACUUCGGGAUAAGCCUGGGAAACUGGGUCUAAUACCGGAUAGGAGCCAUUUUUAGUGUGAUGGUUGGAAAGUUUUUUCGGUGUAGGAUGAGCUCGCGGCCUAUCAGCUUGUUGGUGGGGUAAUGGCCUACCAGGGCGGCGACGGGUAGCCGGCCUGAGAGGGUGGACGGCCACAUUGGGACUGAGAUACGGCCCAGACUCCUACGGGAGGCAGCAGUGGGGAAGAUUGCACAAGGGGCGCAAGCCUGAUGCAGCGACGCCGCGUGGGGGAUGACGGCCUUCGGGUUGUAAACUCCUUUCGCUAGGGACGAAGCUUUUUGUGACGGUACCUAGAUAAGAAGCACCGGCUAACUACGUG